This 492-nucleotide ribosomal RNA is filed under the name uncultured bacterium. Its description in RNAcentral is "partial 16S ribosomal RNA". It matches the Rfam family "Bacterial small subunit ribosomal RNA", at positions 29 to 507 of the family's 1533-position model. The record is from RNAcentral.
AGUGAACGCUGGCGGUAGGCCUAACACAUGCAAGUCGAACGGCAGCACAGUAAGAGCUUGCUCUUACGGGUGGCGAGUGGCGGACGGGUGAGGAAUACAUCGGAAUCUACUUUUUCGUGGGGGAUAACGUAGGGAAACUGACGCUAAUACCGCAUACGACCUACGGGUGAAAGCAGGGGAUCUUCAGACCUUGCGCGAUUGAAUGAGCCGAUGUCGGAUUAGCUAGUUGGCGGGGUAAAGGCCCACCAAGGCGACGAUCCGUAGCUGGUCUGAGAGGAUGAUCAGCCACACUGGAACUGAGACACGGUCCAGACUCCUACGGGAGGCAGCAGUGGGGAAUAUUGGACAAUGGGCGCAAGCCUGAUCCAGCCAUACCGCGUGGGUGAAGAAGGUCUUCGGGUUGUAAAGCCCUUUUGUUGGGAAAGAAAAGCAGCAGGUUAAUACCCCGCUGUUCUGACGGUACCCAAAGAAUAAGCACCGGCUAACUUCGUG